AUUGAACGCUGGCGGCAGGCCUAACACAUGCAAGUCGAGCGGAUGAAGGGAGCUUGCUCCUGGAUUCAGCGGCGGACGGGUGAGUAAUGCCUAGGAAUCUGCCUGGCAGUGGGGGAUAACGUCCGGAAACGGGCGCUAAUACCGCAUACGUCCUGAGGGAGAAAGGGGGGGAUCUUCGGACCUCACGCUAUCAGAUGAGCCUAGGUCGGAUUAGCUAGUUGGUGGGGUAAAGGCCUACCAAGGCAACGAUCCGUAACUGGUCUGAGAGGAUGAUCAGUCACACUGGAACUGAGACACGGUCCAGACUCCUACGGGAGGCAGCAGUGGGGAAUAUUGGACAAUGGGCGCAAGCCUGAUCCAGCCAUACCGCGUGUGUGAAGAAGGUCUUCGGAUUGUAAAGCACUUUAAGUGGGGAGGAAGGGCAGUAAGUUAAUACCUUGCUGUUUUGACGUUACCAACAGAAUAAGCACCGGCUAACUUCGUG
This 484-nucleotide ribosomal RNA is filed under the name uncultured bacterium. RNAcentral's name for it is "partial 16S ribosomal RNA". It matches the Rfam family "Bacterial small subunit ribosomal RNA", at positions 30 to 507 of the family's 1533-position model. The record is from RNAcentral.